RNAcentral lists this unclassified non-coding RNA (201 nucleotides) under uncultured Polyporales. RNAcentral describes it as "sequence contains ITS2". The record is from RNAcentral. Lineage: Eukaryota; Fungi; Basidiomycota; Agaricomycetes; Polyporales.
AAUUCUCAACCCAAACAUCUUUUGCGAGGUGUCUGGGCUUGGACUUGGGAGUCUGCUGGCUUUUGUCGGCUCUCCUUGAAUGCAUUAGCUCGAACCCUUGCGGAUCGGCUGCCGGUGUGAUAAUUGUCUACGCCGUGGUUGUGAUGCCACCUUCGGGUGUGGGUCGGCUUCUAAUUGUCCUGAGAGGGACAACUUUUUGAA